Molecule: ribosomal RNA, 517 nt
Filed under: uncultured bacterium
Lineage: Bacteria
Description: bacterial SSU rRNA
Rfam family: Bacterial small subunit ribosomal RNA
Source: RNAcentral
GAGUUUGAUCCUGGCUCAGGAUGAACGCUGGCGGCGUGCUUAACACAUGCAAGUCGAACGAAGCACUUUGCUUGAUCCCUUCGGGGUGAUUGCUUUGUGACUGAGUGGCGGACGGGUGAGUAACGCGUGGGUAACCUGCCUCAUACAGGGGGAUAACAGCUGGAAAUGGUUGCUAAUACCGCAUAAGCGCACAGGACCGCAUGGUCCGGUGUGAAAAACUCCGGUGGUAUAAGAUGGACCCGCGUUGGAUUAGCUAGUUGGUGGGGUAACGGCCCACCAAGGCGACGAUCCAUAGCCGGCCUGAGAGGGUGAACGGCCACAUUGGGACUGAGACACGGCCCAGACUCCUACGGGAGGCAGCAGUGGGGAAUAUUGCACAAUGGGGGAAACCCUGAUGCAGCGACGCCGCGUGAAGGAAGAAGUAUCUCGGUAUGUAAACUUCUAUCAGCAGGGAAGAUAGUGACGGUACCUGACUAAGAAGCCCCGGCUAACUACGUGCCAGCCGCCGCGGUAAUUC